GCCUACGGGGCGCAGCAGUAGGGAAUCUUCCACAAUGGGCGAAAGCCUGAUGGAGCAACGCCGCGUGGGUGAAGAAGGUCUUCGGAUCGUAAAACCCUGUUGUUAGAGAAGAAAGUGCGUGAGAGUAACUGUUCACGUUUCGACGGUAUCUAACCAGAAAGCCACGGCUAACUACGUGCCAGCAGCCGCGGUAAUACGUAGGUGGCAAGCGUUAUCCGGAUUUAUUGGGCGUAAAGGGAACGCAUGCGGUCUUUUAAGUCUAAUGUGAAAGCCUUCGGCUUAACCGGAGUAGUGCAUUGGAAACU
RNAcentral lists this ribosomal RNA (305 nucleotides) under uncultured bacterium. RNAcentral's name for it is "bacterial SSU rRNA". It matches the Rfam family "Bacterial small subunit ribosomal RNA", at positions 337 to 634 of the family's 1533-position model. The record is from RNAcentral.